This 4601-nucleotide small RNA is filed under the name Pongo abelii (Sumatran orangutan). RNAcentral describes it as "retained intron". The record is from RNAcentral. Lineage: Eukaryota; Metazoa; Chordata; Mammalia; Primates; Hominidae.
GAGUGCAGUGGUGCCAUCUUGGCUCACUGCAACCUCUGCCUCCCAGGUUCAAGCAAUUCUCAUGCCUCAGCCUCCCGAGUAGCUGGGAUUAUAGGUGUGUGCCAAAACAUCUGGCUAAUUUUUUGUGUUUUUUUUUUUUUUGGUAGAGACGGGGUUUCGCCAUGUUGGCCAGGCUGGUCUUGAACUCCUGGCCUCAAGUGAUCUGCCUGCCUCGGCCUCCAAAAGUGUUGGGAUUCCAGGCGUGAGCCACCACGCCUGGCCUGUCAUCCCUUCAAAUGUUUCAGAACUGAGGCAUGCAGAGGCCGGAAGACAGGCUGGGCUCACCCGGUUGGUUAUCUCUGAGAGAGGACAUGGGUGAGGUCAGAGGCCUCUCCCUGGAAAAGGAGGUAGGUGGAGAAGCCAGGUGGCAUCCAGAUAAGGAAGACCAGCAUCUCCUUGAGAGUGUACACAGGAGCACGGGAUGGGGAGGGAGGCUGAGUGCUCCUUACAGGCCCACCCUUUUCCCUCCAGGUGUUAGCUGCUGUUGUCCUGGGUCUUCAGUGUUGACCAUCGCAUGGCAUUUGGGCAGCUGGUUCUGCUGGGUUACGGUCCUCAUGUCCCUGGCACAGACACAGCCAUUGCCUGCUGGCACUUGAUACCUACUCACAUUCCAUUUCUCUAUUCCAAACACACUGGAUUGCAUGGCCCCGGGCGCUGCGGUGUGCACCAUUGUCUGGCCCACACUCACCUAGAAUACAUAUCAGGAUCUCCUACCCACUCCUUGGGUACAAGAAGAAGAAGGGGUUCUGGCCGGGCGUGGUGGUUCACGCCUGUAAUCCCAGCACUUUUGAGAGGCCGAGGUGGGCGGAUCACAAGGUCAGGAGAUUGAGACCAUCCUGGCUAACAUGGUGAAACCCCGUCUCUACUAAAAAACACACACAAAAAAAUUAGCUGGGCGUGGUGGCGGGCACCUGUAGUCCCAGCUACUCGGGAGGCUGAGGCAGGAGAAUGGCGAGAACCUGGGAGGCGGAGCUUGCAGUGAGCUGAGAUCGCACCACUGCACUCCAGCCUGGGCGACAGAGCAAGACUCCGUAAUCUGCCUCCAGCUCAGUUAUAAGGUGGCUUAUCUAAAGGCUUGGGAGGUGGGGCACCCAGCCCUACCCACCCGUCCAGGAAGUUCCGCACCUGGACAACUUUCAAUUUCAUUAUUUUAGCUUCCUGAGAUUCAGAGACCAGGAACUGUGCAGAGAUCUGUGGGGAUUCUCACAACUUCCAUUUCUGGUGAACAGCUGAGGUCAGAGAGGAGGUGGGUACCACUUGAGAUGAGCCUGUGGUUCCUGGGCACUGUCUUUCCAGAUACCUAGAAUUCCCAGGUUGGUAGUGAAUUGGGAGUCAACCACCACGAUGGGGGCAGAGACAGCGAGGAAGCAGUGAGUGGAUAAGUGCCUGUGCCGGGCAGAAGGGAUACAGGGGAAGGUGGCCAAAGGUAGGAUGGGGAAGUGGAUCCCAGGAAGCUUUUGUUUCUUCUGAGGCCAAUUUACCACCACCUCAUUGGGAAAUUGUUGGUAGGGAGGCACCCAUCCAAUUGCCUUGCAGAAUACAGUAAAGCAGGGAGCCCAAGAAUCAGAACCAAGGGAAGAAACGACGAGUUGAGGUUAGUAAUGUGAAGUUUGGCAACCGUGCCCGUCAUCCCUCCCUGGUUCCUCUGUUCAUCAACAUUGGGGCUAGUCCGGCUGGGGCAUGGUGGGCCUGCCUUUCCAUCCCUCAGGCCCCUUGGAACAAGGGGGCAACUCUGCUGUGGGAGAUGUAGAAAAUGGGUCUCACUUUCUCUAUUUGGGGCAAUAGCUGCUACUUUUUUCCUCCAGAUGGGUACCAUGAGGGGCAGAGGAGAAUCUGGGAUCUGUGAUGUUUAGCCCUCUUUACUGAGUCAUGGCUGCCUCACAUUCUAGCAGUAAGGCAGGCAAAUCAUUCCGGGUACUGGUUGUCCUGGAACCUUUGGCUCUUCCUUGACCUCAUGUCACGUGCAUCCAUGUGAAGAGAGUCCACGAAAUGGGCUUUAUGUGAGCAACAAGGCUGGGUGCAGGCAGGCUGAGUCCAAAAAAGGAGUCAGCAAAGGGUGGUGGGAUUAUCAUUAGUUCUUAUAGGUUUGGGAUAGGCUUACAAAGUACAUUCUCAAGGGUGGAGAAAUAUUACAAAGUACCUUCUUAAGGGCAGGGAGAGACUAUAUCGUAUCAGUUAGGGUGGGGCAGGAACAAAUCACAAUGGUGGAAGUUGUGUUAAGGCUCAUCAGUUAAGGCUAUUUUCACUUCUUUUGUGGAUCUUCAGUUGCUUCAGGCCAUCUGGAUGUAUACAUGCAGGUCACAGGGAAUAUGAUGGCUUAGCUUGGGCUCAGAGGCCUGACACCUCAGGCUGCCAAAUGUGGAAGAUUUAAAUACUUGAACCAAUACCCUCCUCCCAAAAACUGAAAUUGGCUUCUGUUUCUGAGUUGGUCCAGGCACAAUGUUCAGUGUAUUUGAGGAAAUCACAAGAAUUGUAGUUAAGGAGAUGGAUUCUGGAGGGGAUAUGAUUGCCGUUAGAAGCCUCGUUGAUGCUGAUAGAUUCCGCUGCUUCCAUCUGGUGGGGGAGAAGAGAACUUUCUUUGGAUGCCGGCACUACACAACAGGCCUCACCCUGAUGGACAUUCUGGACACAGAUGGGGACAAGUGGUUCGAUGAACUGGAUUCUGGGCUCCAAGGUCAAAACGCUGAGUUUCAAAUUCUGGAUAAUGUAGACUCAAAGGGAGAGUUGAUAGUGACAUUACUCAAAGAAAUAACAAUUUCAGGCAGCUUCCAGGGCUUCCACCAUCAGAAUAUCAAGAUAUCUGAGAACCGGAUAUCCCAGCAGUAUCUGGCUACCCUUGAAAACAGGAAGCUGAAGAGGGAACUACCCUUUUCAUUCCGAUCAAUUAAUACGAGAGAAAACCUGUAUCUGGUGACAGAAACUCUGGAGACGGUAAAGGAGGAAACCCUGAAAAGCAACCGGCAAUAUAAAUUUUGGAGCCAGAUCUCUCAGGGCCGUCUCAGCUAUAAACACAAGGGCCAUAGGGAAGUGACCAUCCCCGCAAAUCGGGUCCUGAGCUAUCGAGUAAAGCAGCUUGUCUUCCCCAACAAGGAGAUGAUGAAGAAGGAUGGUGCUUCAUCCUGUUUAGGUAAGGGUGAUAGCCAAGUGUGUUCAGGGUGGCUGCACCAACCCACCCUGAGUCCAUGUGGCUCAAGACUGCUGCUCAGGUGGGGUCAGCUGAGUGGGUAGGAAGGGGGGCGGGGGCACUGCCUAGCAGGUCUCAACUUUAGUCUGGAGGCUGCAUCUGUCUCCUCUAAACACAGUGGUUCUCAUUGGUUAUACCCCAAAAUCACACCAGGAAACUUUAAAACUAGUGACGACUGAGUCCCGUCUCCAGAAGCUCUGACUUAAUUGUGGGGGUGUGGCCUGGACAUCAGGAUUUGUAAUAACUCUUCAGGUGAUUCUCAUGUAGUCAAGGUUGAGAACCACUGCUUUAACUUUCUCCAAAUCCUAAUUACUUCUAGUGUGGCCCGAGGACUGCACUUUGAAUGGCAAGGGCCAAAUAACCAAGUUUUUGUUUUUUUCCGGGAGGUGGAGAAGAAUUUGGGGUUGGGACUAGACUGGGGGUGAGCUGGGGAGAUGGAAGAUGGAAGUGGGGUCAGUGGGAGGCAAUGAUGGUAGGUAUCUUGGAAGAAGUAUGUUUAAUUUUAACACGGAAAGACUGGAAGAAGGGAAGAUACAAAGAGAUGGUCUCCAGAAGACAGUCAGACAAAUAACAGAGCCUUAGAAAUAAAGCCUUUUGGGCUGGGUGGCCCAGGUUCUCAAUUGCUGCCUCUACAGGAAAGUCUUUGGGUUCGGAGGAUUCCAGAAACAUGAAGGAGAAGUUGGAGGACAUGGAGAGUGUCCUCCAGGACCUGACGGAGGAGAAGAGAAAAGAUGUGCUAAACUCCCUCGCUAAGUGCCUCGGCAAGGAGGAGACUCGGCAGGAUCUAGAGCAAAGAGUAUCUGAGGUCCUGAUUUCCGGGGAGCUGCACAUGGAGGACCCAGACAAGACUCUCCUAAGCAGCCUUUUUAAUGCUGCUGGGGUCUUGGUAGAAGUGCGUGCAAAAGCCAUUCUGGACUUCCUGGAUGCCCUGCUAGAGCUGUCUGAAGAGCAGCAGCUUGUGGCUGAGGCCCUGGAGAAGGGGACCCUUCCUCUGUUGAAGGACCAGGUGAAAUCUAUCAUGGAGCAGAACUGGGAUGAGCUGCUGGCCAGCAGUCCUCAUGACAAGGACUAUGACCCUGAGGCACGAAUUCUCUGUGCGCUGUAUGUUGUUGUCUCUAUCCUGCUGGAGCUGGCUGAGGGGCCUACCUCUGUCUCUUCCUAACUACAAAAGCCCUUUCUCCCCAUAAGCCUCUGGGUUCUCCCUUCACCAGUCUGUCCUCACUGCCAUCGCCACUACCAUCCUGUCACCAGCGGGACCUCUUUAAGACAAGCAGCCAACCAUUCUUUGAUGUAUCCCAUUCCCUCCAUGUUAACAUCCAAAACCAGCCUGGAUUUCAUGCAUGGACUUCUGAUUAAAAGUGGCAGGUUGUGCACGUUA